Notothenia coriiceps (black rockcod) is the source of this 644-nucleotide long non-coding RNA. RefSeq lists it as uncharacterized. Lineage: Eukaryota; Metazoa; Chordata; Actinopteri; Perciformes; Nototheniidae. The record is from RefSeq and is a predicted model, not a curated record. The transcript is spliced from 2 exons.
AGGAAGCAGAGGCUGACAGAGGAAUACGUUGCUGUCAACGACACACUGGAGACAUCCAGAGGCUCCAUCUCUGACACUGAGAGGACUGUGGCUGAGAUGGAGGCUAUGGUGCAGAACGUGAGUCAGUACCAUGCAGCGAUUGAUGGUGCCGGCCAAAAGCUGACGGAGAAGACUGAGCGUCUGGUGCUGGCUGACAGAGAUCUGGUGCAGAGGGCUGAUGACCACGCUGAAGACCUGGACCGCCAGGCCAACCAGCUGGAGGAGUGAGACACCCGCCUGAAUUAAAAAUAUAUAAUAUUUAAGUAACAAUACAUGAAGUCCUUACCAGGUUAUAUGUCCUUGUGAUUGCGAAACUUGGGAAAAUGUGCGGUCCUCCACGCACACUCUGACCCAUCCGUACGCGGUACGCACAAAAACGGGAGGGACGAGAAACUGCGACACCGUUGGCAGAAGGAAGAAUGGAGAAAAAUAUGUGGAAAUAAUACCAUAAAUAAAAUGUUACCUCUCAUUUAUCAUAUAUGAAGAAUUCAUUUUCACAAAUUGAUUAAAGCCAAUCUUAAAAAUGAUUAAACAAACGCCUGUUUGAGACUCCUCAGUGCUCACAAAAACAUAACUUGGAGAAAUAAAUAAAUACUGAAAUGUUA